CUGAUGUUAGCGGCGGACGGGUGAGUAACACGUGGGUAACCUACCUAUAAGACUGGGAUAACUCCGGGAAACCGGGGCUAAUACCGGAUAAUAUUUUGAACCGCAUGGUUCAAUAGUGAAAGACGGUCUCGGCUGUCACUUAUAGAUGGACCCGCGCCGUAUUAGCUAGUUGGUAAGGUAACGGCUUACCAAGGCGACGAUACGUAGCCGACCUGAGAGGGUGAUCGGCCACACUGGAACUGAGACACGGUCCAGACUCCUACGGGAGGCAGCAGAC
This 277-nucleotide ribosomal RNA is filed under the name uncultured Staphylococcus sp. RNAcentral's name for it is "partial 16S ribosomal RNA". It matches the Rfam family "Bacterial small subunit ribosomal RNA", at positions 86 to 354 of the family's 1533-position model. Lineage: Bacteria; Bacillati; Bacillota; Bacilli; Caryophanales; Staphylococcaceae. The record is from RNAcentral.